CUGAAACCGUGUACGUACAAGCAGUGGGAGCACGCUUAGGCGUGUGACUGCGUACCUUUUGUAUAAUGGGUCAGCGACUUAUAUUCUGUAGCAAGGUUAACCGAAUAGGGGAGCCGAAGGGAAACCGAGUCUUAACUGGGCGUUAAGUUGCAGGGUAUAGACCCGAAACCCGGUGAUCUAGCCAUGGGCAGGUUGAAGGUUGGGUAACACUAACUGGAGGACCGAACCGACUAAUGUUGAAAAAUUAGCGGAUGACUUGUGGCUGGGGGUGAAAGGCCAAUCAAACCGGGAGAUAGCUGGUUCUCCCCGAAAGCUAUUUAGGUAGCGCCUCGUGAAUUCAUCUCCGGGGGUAGAGCACUGUUUCGGCAAGGGGGUCAUCCCGACUUACCAACCCGAUGCAAACUGCGAAUACCGGAGAAUGUUAUCACGGGAGACACACGGCGGGUGCUAACGUCCGUCGUGAAGAGGGAAACAACCCAGACCGCCAGCUAAGGUCCCAAAGUCAUGGUUAAGUGGGAAACGAUGUGGGAAGGCCCAGACAGCCAGGAUGUUGGCUUAGAAGCAGCCAUCAUUUAAAGAAAGCGUAAUAGCUCACUGGUCGAGUCGGCCUGCGCGGAAGAUGUAACGGGGCUAAACCAUGCACCGAAGCUGCGGCAGCGACGCUUAUGCGUUGUUGGGUAGGGGAGCGUUCUGUAAGCCUGCGAAGGUGUGCUGUGAGGCAUGCUGGAGGUAUCAGAAGUGCGAAUGCUGACAUAAGUAACGAUAAAGCGGGUGAAAAGCCCGCUCGCCGGAAGACCAAGGGUUCCUGUCCAACGUUAAUCGGGGCAGGGUGAGUCGACCCCUAAGGCGAGGCCGAAAGGCGUAGUCGAUGGGAAACAGGUUAAUAUUCCUGUACUUGGUGUUACUGCGAAGGGGGGACGGAGAAGGCUAUGUUGGCCGGGCGACGGUUGUCCCGGUUUAAGCGUGUAGGCUGGUUUUCCAGGCAAAUCCGGAAAAUCAAGGCUGAGGCGUGAUGACGAGGCACUACGGUGCUGAAGCAACAAAUGCCAUGCUUCCAGGAAAAGCCUCUAAGCAUCAGGUAACAUCAAAUCGUACCCCAAACCGACACAGGUGGUCAGGUAGAGAAUACCAAGGCGCUUGAGAGAACUCGGGUGAAGGAACUAGGCAAAAUGGUGCCGUAACUUCGGGAGAAGGCACGCUGAUAUGUAGGUGAAGCGACUUGCUCGUGGAGCUGAAAUCAGUCGAAGAUACCAGCUGGCUGCAACUGUUUAUUAAAAACACAGCACUGUGCAAACACGAAAGUGGACGUAUACGGUGUGACGCCUGCCCGGUGCCGGAAGGUUAAUUGAUGGGGUCAGCGCAAGCGAAGCUCUUGAUCGAAGCCCCGGUAAACGGCGGCCGUAACUAUAACGGUCCUAAGGUAGCGAAAUUCCUUGUCGGGUAAGUUCCGACCUGCACGAAUGGCGUAAUGAUGGCCAGGCUGUCUCCACCCGAGACUCAGUGAAAUUGAACUCGCUGUGAAGAUGCAGUGUACCCGCGGCAAGACGGAAAGACCCCGUGAACCUUUACUAUAGCUUGACACUGAACAUUGAGCCUUGAUGUGUAGGAUAGGUGGGAGGCUUUGAAGUGUGGACGCCAGUCUGCAUGGAGCCGACCUUGAAAUACCACCCUUUAAUGUUUGAUGUUCUAACGUUGACCCGUAAUCCGGGUUGCGGACAGUGUCUGGUGGGUAGUUUGACUGGGGCGGUCUCCUCCUAAAGAGUAACGGAGGAGCACGAAGGUUGGCUAAUCCUGGUCGGACAUCAGGAGGUUAGUGCAAUGGCAUAAGCCAGCUUGACUGCGAGCGUGACGGCGCGAGCAGGUGCGAAAGCAGGUCAUAGUGAUCCGGUGGUUCUGAAUGGAAGGGCCAUCGCUCAACGGAUAAAAGGUACUCCGGGGAUAACAGGCUGAUACCGCCCAAGAGUUCAUAUCGACGGCGGUGUUUGGCACCUCGAUGUCGGCUCAUCACAUCCUGGGGCUGAAGUAGGUCCCAAGGGUAUGGCUGUUCGCCAUUUAAAGUGGUACGCGAGCUGGGUUUAGAACGUCGUGAGACAGUUCGGUCCCUAUCUGCCGUGGGCGCUGGAGAACUGAGGGGGGCUGCUCCUAGUACGAGAGGACCGGAGUGGACGCAUCACUGGUGUUCGGGUUGUCAUGCCAAUGGCACUGCCCGGUAGCUAAAUGCGGAAGAGAUAAGUGCUGAAAGCAUCUAAGCACGAAACUUGCCCCGAGAUGAGUUCUCCCUGACUCCUUGAGAGUCCUGAAGGAACGUUGAAGACGACGACGUUGAUAGGCCGGGUGUGUAAGCGCAGCGAUGCGUUGAGCUAACCGGUACUAAUGAACCGUGAGG
RNAcentral lists this ribosomal RNA (2386 nucleotides) under Escherichia coli. RNAcentral's name for it is "partial 23S ribosomal RNA". It matches the Rfam family "Bacterial large subunit ribosomal RNA", at positions 550 to 2915 of the family's 2925-position model. The record is from RNAcentral. Lineage: Bacteria; Pseudomonadati; Pseudomonadota; Gammaproteobacteria; Enterobacterales; Enterobacteriaceae.